UACGGAGGAUCCAAGCGUUAUCCGGAAUCAUUGGGUUUAAAGGGUCCGUAGGCGGUUUUGUAAGUCAGUGGUGAAAGCCCAUCGCUCAACGGUGGAACGGCCAUUGAUACUGCAAGACUUGAAUUAUUGGGAAGUAACUAGAAUAUGUAGUGUAGCGGUGAAAUGCUUAGAGAUUACAUGGAAUACCAAUUGCGAAGGCAGGUUACUACCAAUAUAUUGACGCUGAUGGACGAAAACGUGGGGAGCGAACAGG
RNAcentral lists this ribosomal RNA (253 nucleotides) under uncultured bacterium. Its description in RNAcentral is "partial 16S ribosomal RNA". It matches the Rfam family "Bacterial small subunit ribosomal RNA", at positions 524 to 776 of the family's 1533-position model. The record is from RNAcentral.